UGAAUUCAGUUAUUGGAGGCAUUGCCUGCCAGUGACACACUGUUUACGGCCGCGGUAUCCUAGACCGUGCAAGGUAGCAUAAUCACUUGUUCCCUAAAUAGGGACUUGUAUGAAUGGCUCCACGAGGGUUCAGCUGUCUCUUACUUUUAACCAGUGAAAUUGACCUGCCCGUGAAGAGGCGGGCAUGACACAGCAAGACGAGAAGACCCUAUGGAGCUUUAAUUUAUUAAUGCAAACAGUACCUAACAAACCCACAGGGCCUAAACUACCAAACCUGGAUUAGAAAUUUCGGUUGGGGCGACCUCCGAACAAAACCCAACCUCCGAACAGAACAUGCUAAGACUUCCCCAGUCAAAGCGAACUACUAUACUCAAUUGAUCCAAUAACUUGACCAACGGAACAAGUUACCCUAGGGAUAACAGCGCAAUCCUAUUCUAAAGUCCAUAUCAACAAUAGGGUUUACAACCUCAAUGUUGGAUCAGGACAUCCCAAUGGUGCACCCGCUAUUAAAGGUUCGUUUGUUCAACAAUUAAAGUCCUACUUGAUCUGAGUUCAAACCGGA
RNAcentral lists this ribosomal RNA (562 nucleotides) under Phascolosoma esculenta. Its description in RNAcentral is "partial 16S ribosomal RNA". It matches the Rfam family "Bacterial large subunit ribosomal RNA", at positions 1878 to 2620 of the family's 2925-position model. Lineage: Eukaryota; Metazoa; Annelida; Sipuncula; Phascolosomatiformes; Phascolosomatidae. The record is from RNAcentral.